Molecule: transfer RNA, 74 nt
Filed under: Bacillus anthracis (anthrax bacterium)
Lineage: Bacteria; Bacillati; Bacillota; Bacilli; Caryophanales; Bacillaceae
Also listed under: 5 other names
Description: tRNA-Pro
Rfam family: tRNA
About the family: Transfer RNA (tRNA) molecules are approximately 80 nucleotides in length. Their secondary structure includes four short double-helical elements and three loops (D, anti-codon, and T loops). Further hydrogen bonds mediate the characteristic L-shaped molecular structure. tRNAs have two regions of fundamental functional importance: the anti-codon, which is responsible for specific mRNA codon recognition, and the 3' end, to which the tRNAs corresponding amino acid is attached (by aminoacyl-tRNA synthetases). tRNAs cope with the degeneracy of the genetic code in two manners: having more than one tRNA (with a specific anti-codon) for a particular amino acid; and 'wobble' base-pairing, i.e. permitting non-standard base-pairing at the 3rd anti-codon position.
Source: RNAcentral
CGGGAUGUAGCUCAGUUUGGUAGAGUGCCACAUUUGGGGUGUGGAUGCCGUAGGUUCAAGUCCUGCCAUCCCGA